Podarcis muralis (Common wall lizard) is the source of this 2543-nucleotide long non-coding RNA. RefSeq lists it as uncharacterized. NCBI's taxonomy places the organism in Eukaryota, Metazoa, Chordata, Lepidosauria, Squamata, Lacertidae. The record is from RefSeq and is a predicted model, not a curated record.
CCCCCUUUUUAGCAUAAUUUUUAAAGAAAACACCUGGUCUUAUACAUGGAAAAGUACAGUAUCUUUCUGUCCAGGCUUUCCCUGACGGAUAAGCUUUUAUACUACCAUUUUACUGGGUUUUCUUAUGAGAGACUGCUGGAUACAACCAUCAAGAACAGGGAUCCUGAAGCUGAAGUGAGAUGGUUGCUACUACCUGAAGAUGACACUUUCCUUCCGAGAGUCGCAUGCUUUCCAAUCCGAUACCUCAAUUGGCACCACCUAGAAAUGUUCCUGAGACCUCCAGUAGUGGCACCUAGAAGCAGGUGGAAGCUCAUCUCAGUCAUAUACUCUACACUGGAACAAAUACUGUAGUGUUUAUUGUAUUUAGAAACAGCAGAACCCGGGUAUUUCCUUGAUUACAAUCAUAAGCUGUUAAUAGAUGUGGGUACCGGUGUUCAAUUUCCUUAUCUUGAAGCUGCUCAGACAGUGCAUCCCCCACCUUUCCAAUUGUGAUGUAUUUUACAUAAACCAGAGAAAUGUGCCUGCAUUUUUUAUUUCCUGUGUACUCCAAAACUUCAUUAUUCUCUAACAAUUUGCUCUAAUAGACCUUUUUGCAUGUAAGGAGGGCUUGGAAAUUUACGAAAUGAUACUACCAAGACACUUUAACUGUUUGCUACUCUCCUGGUAUGUUUGUGGACAUGGUUUUGCUUAAUUCGCUAACCCUCUUUUGGCAACUGAGUUGAGAAUUUGUCUUAAAUGCAUGAGCCUUGGUUGCCUGUUAGGCUCAGUGAAGUUUGCCUCCCUUAACUUAUUUUAGAUGGGGUGUGUGUGAGUGUAAGGAUGUCAUUCCCACCCAUGGGCAUAGCCAACGGGGGUGCAGGGGGCAGCUGCUCCCCCCAAGAUGAAGUAAAACAAUAGAAAUACAUAACUAAAUGACCAAUCACUUCAGUUCUGCCCCCCCCCCACAAAAGUCCUGCUCCCUCCUAACAAAAUUCCCAUGUUACCACCCAAUGAAAGUCAGUGGCAAGGAUGCUCUUAUUUUAAGCGACUGGCCCAUGGCCAUAGCCAGGAUUGCAGGGGCAGGCCUUUUGUUGGGGAGGGAGAACCUCAGUUUGUCAUGUAUUUUUAUUGAUUUUUUUAGCUGCCUCUCCCUACCCCCUGGCUACUCCCAUGGACUGGACCCAGGGCCGGAUUUAGGUUUGGUGAGGCCCUGAGCUACUGAAGGUAAUGGGGCCCUUUAUAUGUCCAGCUAUCCUUUGUCAACAACAAAUUGUCACUGUUUUUGUGUUGAAUAUAUGCUAUGUGGUAAUUUAUGGACCUAAUAGGUAUCUAAAGGUAUCUAAAGCCAUUGGCCACUGUGUAGGUUUUAUCUGCUAUUUUGGAACUGUACAUCCAGUGUUGUUUUUUCUUUAAAUCUUUUUGGGGUUCCCAAGAGAGUGGGGCCCUAUGUUAUAGCUUGUUUAGCUUAUAGGUAAAUCCAGCACUGACUGGGCCCUAGGGAGAGGAAAUCGAAGACGGGAAGAAGCGGAGGGCAAAGCCACCCUGAGUUGCGCUCAGGUCCUCAGCAGCGCGCAGAAGCAACUGCCACGAUGAGGCUCGGAGGCGUUUGCUAGGCCCCAAGCGCGCGCUUUCGCGGGUCUGGCUCUCUGCUGCGACCAGCAGGGCCUUGUCUCUGAGGGCUCAGUCACUUCGGCACACUCGAGGCCUUGCGAGAAAGGGGAGCUCCUCUAUACCUGCCUACCACCAUCUUCGCUGGCUGAGCGCCUUUCAAGCGGUCGGUGAGACUUGGCUGUCAGGGCAUACGCUGUCCCUCGGGGCACCGCCGGCAAACCGCCCUUCGCUGCCUAGAGCCGCGGCGGCGGCUGCUUUGGACGGAGGCCGCUCUGUGGGGGCUUCUGGCGGCGAGGCGCCGACCCGAAGAGACGCGGGGCGUGUGGCCCACCCCCCUGUCCGAGCAGAGGCCCGGCCAGUUUCAGGCGCGCCCCUGCCCUGCUCGGCGGAAACGUGGAAGGAACCGAGCAGGUUCAUUCUGAGCUGCUUUUCGCCGUCCAGCUCCUGAAAGAAGACUCCCCUUCUACUCUCUCGGCGUUGCGCUCUGGUUUGAAGCGCCUGCAAAAAGACCCCUGCGCGCAGCAUCCCUGCCAUCGAGCUCCUCACCAGCACCGUUUAUGAACAAAGCUGAGCGCUAUGAACAAAGCUGAGCUGAGCGCUAUCCACGCAUUCAAAGUUAUGUACUGGAAAACUGCUUGCCUCCAAUGAAAGACAUUCACUGGAAUCAAAGGUGCCAACUUGAAUAAAAUAUUGGGGGGAGCCCCGCCCUGCAUAAUCGAUCACAAGACACACACCAUUUGAAUGGCAAUGAUACUGUGGGGGUGGGGCUCCCUCAACUAUUUUAUGGGGGAGGGCGAAGGGACCCUGGCCCCUGGGAAUGGGCUCCUAUGACUGGAAUGGAAAGUAAUUAAAAUGAAAAGACUUGCGCUUAUGUUGACCGACAGAGUCCUUUUCUUCUUCAUCAUCAUCAUCUUGUUAUUUUUCAUUUUUAAAAAAAUAAAAAAUAAACUUGU